RNAcentral lists this ribosomal RNA (433 nucleotides) under uncultured bacterium. RNAcentral's name for it is "bacterial SSU rRNA". It matches the Rfam family "Bacterial small subunit ribosomal RNA", at positions 43 to 524 of the family's 1533-position model. The record is from RNAcentral.
CAGGCCUAACACAUGCAAGUCGAACGCCCCGCAAGGGGAGCGGCAGACGGGUGAGUAACACGUGGGAACGUACCCUUUGGUUCGGAACAACCCUGGGAAACUAGGGCUAAUACCGGAUACGCGCGAGAGCGGAAAGGUUUACCGCCGAAGGAUCGGCCCGCGUCUGAUUAGCUAGUUGGUGAGGUAACGGCUCACCAAGGCGACGAUCAGUAGCUGGUCUGAGAGGAUGAUCAGCCACACUGGGACUGAGACACGGCCCAGACUCCUACGGGAGGCAGCAGUGGGGAAUAUUGGACAAUGGGCGCAAGCCUGAUCCAGCAAUGCCGCGUGAGUGAUGAAGGCCUUCGGGUUGUAAAGCUCUUUUACCCGGGAUGAUAAUGACAGUACCGGGAGAAUAAGCUCCGGCUAACUCCGUGCCAGCAGCCGCGGUAAU